AUACCUUUCUCGGCCUUUUGGCUAAGAUCAAUUGUAGUAGCUAUUCUUAUUAGUUUAGUAACAAAAUUAGCAAAGUAAAAAUCGGACUUCAA
RNAcentral lists this small nuclear RNA (92 nucleotides) under Helianthus annuus (common sunflower). RNAcentral describes it as "U2 spliceosomal RNA". It matches the Rfam family "U2 spliceosomal RNA". Rfam says of the family: U2 is a small nuclear RNA (snRNA) component of the spliceosome (involved in pre-mRNA splicing). Lineage: Eukaryota; Viridiplantae; Streptophyta; Magnoliopsida; Asterales; Asteraceae. The record is from RNAcentral.